This 301-nucleotide ribosomal RNA is filed under the name uncultured bacterium. RNAcentral describes it as "partial 16S ribosomal RNA". It matches the Rfam family "Bacterial small subunit ribosomal RNA", at positions 509 to 807 of the family's 1533-position model. The record is from RNAcentral.
CAGUCGCCGCGGGAAUACGUAGGGUGCAAGCGUUAAUCGGAAUUACUGGGCGUAAAGCGUGCGCAGGCGGUUCGUUAAGACAGAUGUGAAAUCCCCAGGCUUAACCUGGGAACUGCAUUUGUGACUGGCGAGCUAGAGUAUGGCAGAGGGGGGUAGAAUUCCACGUGUAGCAGUGAAAUGCGUAGAGAUGUGGAGGAAUACCGAUGGCGAAGGCAGCCCCCUGGGCUAAUACUGACGCUCAUGCACGAAAGCGUGGGGAGCAAACAGGAUUAGAUACCCGUGUAGUCCCUGUCUCUUAUAC